UACAGGUCCAAGAAACCAAAUGACCAAAGAAACUAGACUUUGUUUGCUUUCUUUGUAGCCGAUAAACAGCUUUUUGGGGUAGGGCGAGCAGAGCAUUUAAAGAGAGCAAUAAAAUUGAGUUUCUUGCUUCAUAAAGAGAAGGAAACCGAAGAUAUCAGAUUUUUCAGUAUCUGCUUCCGUUUGCCGUUUUGAUAUUGCAUGUGUCAUGUGAAGUUGAGGAGGUCCAGUUGAGGGUUAUAAAAGAAAGAAACUUCACUUUUUGAGCAAUACCCAUCUCAGAUUUCCUCAACAUGAGACCAAAGAUUUAUCUUUUUGGUGACUCUAUCACUGAAGAGUCCUUUGAUGAUGGAGGCUGGGGUGCUUCUCUUGUUCACCUUUUUUCUCGCACGGUUGAUGUGGUGCUGAGAGGGUACAGUGGGUACAAUACAAGAUGGGCUUUGAAGGUGGUGGAGAGGGUUUUUCCGCCAGUGGAGAGCGGAGGAGAUUGCGGUGCACCGCCAUUAGCUGUAACGGUGUUUUUUGGAGCUAAUGAUGCUUGCCUUCCGGAUAGAUGCUCUGCAUACCAGCACGUGCCUCUCCCAGAAUACAAGCAUAACCUUCACGCCAUUUUCUCAUUUUUCAAGGCUCGCUGGCCAAAUGCGAUUAUUCUUUUCAUCACUCCUCCUCCAAUUGAUGAAGCUGCACGCCUCCGGUAUCCUUAUGUUGAGAAUCUGCAAGGUCUGUCCGAGAGGACGAAUGAAGCUGCUGGUGCUUAUGCCAAGGCAUGUAUUGCUGUUGCAGAAGAAUGUGGGUGCCCUGUGGUAGACAUCUGGACCAAGAUGCAGCAAAAUCCUAACUGGAAAAAUGCUUAUCUAAGAGAUGGUUUGCACCUAACUCCGAGGGGAAACAAGAUCGUGUUCGAGGAAGUGUUCAAGAAGCUCAAGGAACGGGGCUUGAGCGUAGAGAUAUUGCCAGUUGAUCUCCCACUCAUAGCUGAUAUUGACCCUAAGGAUCCACUCAAGUCAUUUCAGGAAUAAGAUGAUUGCAUUUCAUUGUUAAUUGAGCAAUUAAAUGGCUACAAAAUUAUUGUAAAUAAAUGCCCAAGAGAGUGAUAUCUGGCUGCUGUUCUAAAAGCAAAUCUCUUUUGGUGAAAAAGAACAGUUUCUCUACUUAAUUAAAGACGGCGAUUAAUUACUCUCUCUUAAACUUCUUUGUCAGGCGAGUGGUUGUUUGAUAAUUGAAAGGGAUUAAUUGG
RNAcentral lists this unclassified non-coding RNA (1234 nucleotides) under Hevea brasiliensis (rubber tree). The record is from RNAcentral. Lineage: Eukaryota; Viridiplantae; Streptophyta; Magnoliopsida; Malpighiales; Euphorbiaceae.